Molecule: ribosomal RNA, 301 nt
Filed under: uncultured bacterium
Lineage: Bacteria
Description: partial 16S ribosomal RNA
Rfam family: Bacterial small subunit ribosomal RNA
Source: RNAcentral
CAGUAGCCGCGGUAAUACGUAGGGUGCGAGCGUUAAUCGGAAUUACUGGGCGUAAAGCGUGCGCAGGCGGUUCUGUAAGACAGGCGUGAAAUCCCCGGGCUCAACCUGGGAAUGGCGCUUGUGACUGCAAAGCUAGAGUGCGGCAGAGGGGGAUGGAAUUCCGCGUGUAGCAGUGAAACGCGUAGAUACGCGGAGGAACACCGAUGGCGAAGGCAAUCCCCUGGGCCUGCACUGACGCUCAUGCACGAAAGCGUGGGGAGCAAACAGGAUUAGAGACCCCAGUAGUCCCUGUCUCUUAUAA